Molecule: Y RNA, 114 nt
Filed under: Propithecus coquereli (Coquerel's sifaka)
Lineage: Eukaryota; Metazoa; Chordata; Mammalia; Primates; Indriidae
Description: Y RNA (ENSPCOG00000008012.1)
Rfam family: Y RNA
About the family: Y RNAs are components of the Ro ribonucleoprotein particle (Ro RNP), in association with Ro60 and La proteins.
Source: Rfam by way of RNAcentral
GGCUGGUCCAAAGGUAGUGAGUUAUCUCACUUGAUUGUUCACAGUCAGUUACAGAUUGAACUCCUUGUUCUACUACUUUCCCCCCUCCUCACUACUGCACUUGACUAGUCUAAA